Molecule: long non-coding RNA, 688 nt
Organism: Daphnia magna
Lineage: Eukaryota; Metazoa; Arthropoda; Branchiopoda; Diplostraca; Daphniidae
Exons: 4
Source: RefSeq, a predicted model, not a curated record
UCUGCUGGGUGGUUGUUGUGCAGUUAUCGGUUUCGAGAGAGAGAGAGAAACGAGGGGUGGGCCGAGGGUUGUUUUGUUCAGAAAAAUGUUUCAAAGUCGAGGGCAUUGUCGUCAGUGUUCAAAUAACAUUCCUUUUUUCCCUUAAAGAAAGAUUACAUUGAAAGCAAAAGACAACAUGGUGUUUACACACGAGGGAAGAACAUGGUUACGUGACGUCACGUGCUGCCAUUAAAACGCCCCUCUUGGGCCUAUAUCGGCAUUCAACGUCGUGUUCAUCAAUAACUUGUUGAAACGAAAUGUUUCAUCUGAUCGUAUUCAAAGUUCACCCGACACGCGCCAUCUUGUCCAGAAAAACAUCAAUGAAAUGCAGCACGUUCAUCACACGAGGACGUGGUGUUUUCACCUUAUCAGAGAGGGUUUAUAGGGUCUCUGUUAAUGGCUGUGAAGGUUAAGCAAUUUAAUCUGGCCCAUCACAUGAAUCAGCUUGUUUUUGUUUGCAACAUUGGAAGGUUUCAAAUUUUCCCAUGAUACCGCGAUACCUCUUUUGAUUAGGAUAACUCACAUGAUGGCGUGGAUCACCAAGAUAAAUCACCUGUCGAAUAGCUGCCAAUCUCCCACCACAUGACGAUGGCGUUGACAACCUAUUCAUGGGCAAUGAUUCGGAUAGUAAGUUUUUAUAAUUAUCGUG